CGAAUAUCAUCAAAGCCCACCCUGAGGAAUCAGGAUUUCUCCCAGUGAUAGAAGAACCUAUCUCCCAAUCUUCAACACUCUUUCUGAAGAGACCAAGUCAGACUUGAGAACCAACCUCUCCAACACUCUUUCCUGAGGAGACCAGCUCAGGUCAAAGGGUGCCCCCCAAUGAUGCUGGAACCCCUCUCCUCACUGCCUAAUUAAAAGCAAUUAUCACCAACACCAUUUACUGGGGAGGGAAGGUCAAGCCGCAUUUCUUUGCCCCAUUUUCUCGGGCAAUAGGAUGUCCCCAAUGACAUUAGAACUACUCUCUCCUCUUUCCAGUGAGGGCAGAGAUCUCACCAAC
This is a long non-coding RNA of Antechinus flavipes (yellow-footed antechinus), 346 nucleotides long. RefSeq lists it as uncharacterized. The transcript is spliced from 4 exons. Lineage: Eukaryota; Metazoa; Chordata; Mammalia; Dasyuromorphia; Dasyuridae. The record is from RefSeq and is a predicted model, not a curated record.